UAUCUCUGUAGAGUCUGCAUAUCAAUAAGCGGAGGAAAAGAAACUAACAAGGAUUCCCCUAGUAACGGCGAGUGAAGCGGGAAGAGCUCAAAUUUGAAAUCUUCAAGGGUUUCCCUUGACGAAUUGUAGUUUAUAGAAGUGUUUUCUGUUAGAGAGGUGGUAAAAGUUCUUUGGAAUAGGACAUCAUAGAGGGUGAGAAUCCCGUAUUUGAUCACUUUCUACUAACGUUGUGAUACACUUUCAAAGAGUCGGAUUGUUUGGGAAUGCAGUCCAAAAUGGGUGGUAAAUUUCAUCUAAAGCUAAAUAUUGGCGAGAGACCGAUAGCGAACAAGUACCGUGAGGGAAAGAUGAAAAGAACUUUGAAAAGAGAGUUAAACAGUACGUGAAAUUGUCAAAAGGGAAGCGUUUGACACCAGUGUUGUUUUCUCGAAAAUCAAUUAAAAAAGGCCGGAUUUGUGUUGUAUUGACCUUAAAAGCUUUCUUCACUCUUUUCUUGUCUUUUUUAAUGCACUUUUCGUUUAACAAGUCAACAUCAGUUUCUUUUGUUGUAAAAGGGUCAUUGGAAGGUGGCUUUCUUUUCGGAGAAAGUGUUUAUAGCCUUUGAUCUCUGCAACCGGAGAGACUGAGGUCUGCAGCGUAGACUCUUCGGGGUUAGAUACAUCUGUGCUAAAGCUAUAGCUUUUUAUAGACAACUUGUUGACUAUAUUUAGUCUUGUGGCUUACUCGCUUAUGCUAUUUUACCUACGCUUAGGAUGUUGAUGUGAUACUGCGAGCA
Molecule: ribosomal RNA, 775 nt
Filed under: uncultured Neocallimastigales
Lineage: Eukaryota; Fungi; Neocallimastigomycota; Neocallimastigomycetes; Neocallimastigales
Description: partial large subunit ribosomal RNA
Rfam family: Eukaryotic large subunit ribosomal RNA
Source: RNAcentral